Molecule: transfer RNA, 77 nt
Filed under: Marivirga tractuosa
Lineage: Bacteria; Pseudomonadati; Bacteroidota; Cytophagia; Cytophagales; Marivirgaceae
Also listed under: 1 other name
Description: tRNA-Met
Rfam family: tRNA
About the family: Transfer RNA (tRNA) molecules are approximately 80 nucleotides in length. Their secondary structure includes four short double-helical elements and three loops (D, anti-codon, and T loops).
Source: RNAcentral
GGCGAGGUAGCUCAGUUGGUUAGAGCGCAGGAUUCAUAACCCUGAGGUCGGCAGUUCAAAUCUGCUUCUCGCUACCA